This 288-nucleotide ribosomal RNA is filed under the name uncultured archaeon. Its description in RNAcentral is "partial 16S ribosomal RNA". It matches the Rfam family "Archaeal small subunit ribosomal RNA", at positions 1058 to 1346 of the family's 1478-position model. The record is from RNAcentral.
CACUGGUCUGCAGCUCGUCCUCCGGGAUGGUGGGGACACUGUUGGGACCGCCUCUGCUAAAGAGGAGGAAGGAAUGGGCAACGGUAGGUCAGCAUGCCCCGAAUUAUCCGGGCUACACGCGGGCUACAAUGGGUGGGACAAUGGGUAUCGACACCGAAAGGUGAAGGCAAUCUCCUAAACCCAUCCUUAGUUCGGAUUGUGGGCUGCAACUCGCCCACAUGAAGCUGGAAUCUGUAGUAAUCGUGUCUCAACAUGGCACGGUGAAUAUGUCCCUGUCCUUGCACACAA